UACACUCCUGCGGGAGGCAGCAGUGGGGAAUUUUGGACAAUGGGCGAAAGCCUGAUCCAGCAAUGCCGCGUGAGUGAAGAAGGCCUUCGGGUUGUAAAGCUCUUUUGUCAGGGAAGAAACGGUGAAAGCUAAUAUCUUUUGCUAAUGACGGUACCUGAAGAAUAAGCACCGGCUAACUACGUGCCAGCAGCCGCGGUGAUACGUAGGGUGCAAGCGUUAAUCGGAAUUACUGGGCGUAAAGCGUGCGCAGGCGGUUUUGUAAGUCUGAUGUGAAAUCCCCGGGCUCAACCUGGGAAUUGCAUUGGAGACUGCAAGGCUAGAACCUGGCAGAGGGGGGUAGAAUUCCACGUGUAGCAGUGAAAUGCGUAGAUAUGUGGAGGAACACCGAUGGCGAAGGCAGCCCCCUGGGUCAAGAUUGACGCUCAUGCACGAAAGCGUGGGGAGCAAACAGGAUUAGAUACCCGAGUAGUCCC
Molecule: ribosomal RNA, 473 nt
Filed under: uncultured organism
Description: partial 16S ribosomal RNA
Rfam family: Bacterial small subunit ribosomal RNA
Source: RNAcentral